GAUGAAGAACGCAGCGAAAUGCGAUAAGUAAUGCGAAUUGCAGAAUUCCAGUGAGUCAUCGAAUCUUUGAACGCACAUUGCGCCCGCCAGUAUUCUGGCGGGCAUGCCUGUUCGAGCGUCAUUUCAACCAUCAAGCCCUGCUUGCGUUGGGGUCCUGCGGCUGCCCGCAGGCCCUGAAAACCAGUGGCGGGCUCGCUAGUCACACCGAGCGCAGUAAUACAUCUCGCUUUGGGCGUGCGGCGGGUUCUUGCCGUUAAACACCCCCUUUUUACCAAGGUUGACCUCGGAUCAGGUAGGAAUACCCGCUGAACUUAAGCAUAUCAAUAAGCGGAGGA
RNAcentral lists this unclassified non-coding RNA (335 nucleotides) under soil metagenome. Its description in RNAcentral is "partial contains 5.8S ribosomal RNA, internal transcribed spacer 2, and large subunit ribosomal RNA". The stretch from base 1 to 121 matches the Rfam family "5.8S ribosomal RNA", at positions 35 to 154 of the family's 154-position model. The record is from RNAcentral.